RNAcentral lists this non-coding RNA (138 nucleotides) under human gut metagenome. RNAcentral describes it as "glmS glucosamine-6-phosphate activated ribozyme". It matches the Rfam family "glmS glucosamine-6-phosphate activated ribozyme aptamer", at positions 6 to 152 of the family's 167-position model. From Rfam's summary of the family: This entry contains a glucosamine-6-phosphate activated ribozyme that is found in the mRNA for GlmS. GlmS is an enzyme that uses fructose-6-phosphate and glutamine to generate glucosamine-6-phosphate. The record is from RNAcentral.
CAAAAAAAGCGCCGGGACCAUGCUGGCAGAGGCAUGGUUGACGAGGUUGGGGAGCAUCGAAUUAUUCGGCGGAUGCCCCACGGUAGACAUAUCGUAAGCUGAUUUUCAAAAACACGGAGUAAUCCGUGAACAAAAAAA